AAGUGCAAUCAUACUAGCACUAAUGCAUCAGAUCUCAUCAGAAUCUCGUAGUUAAGCGUGCUUGGGCGAAAAUACUAUUAGGAUGGGUGAUCUCUUGGGAAGUCUGCGUGUUGCACCUU
RNAcentral lists this ribosomal RNA (119 nucleotides) under Cicer arietinum (chickpea). The record is from RNAcentral. Lineage: Eukaryota; Viridiplantae; Streptophyta; Magnoliopsida; Fabales; Fabaceae.